UUGGGACACGGCGGGCCAAGAACAGCACCACUGCCUCAACACCAUUUACUACCGAGG
Molecule: transfer RNA, 57 nt
Filed under: Strombidium rassoulzadegani
Lineage: Eukaryota; Ciliophora; Spirotrichea; Strombidiidae
Source: RNAcentral